UGUGGGAGCGAGCCUGCUCGCGAUAGCGGUCGUUCAGUUGGCCCUAAGUGACUGAAACGCCGCAAUCGCGAGCAGGCUCGCUCCCACA
This 88-nucleotide unclassified non-coding RNA is filed under the name Pseudomonas corrugata. The record is from RNAcentral. Lineage: Bacteria; Pseudomonadati; Pseudomonadota; Gammaproteobacteria; Pseudomonadales; Pseudomonadaceae.